Molecule: ribosomal RNA, 517 nt
Filed under: Arctopsyche grandis
Lineage: Eukaryota; Metazoa; Arthropoda; Insecta; Trichoptera; Hydropsychidae
Description: SSU rRNA
Rfam family: Eukaryotic small subunit ribosomal RNA
Source: RNAcentral
GCUCGUAGUUGAAAUUGUGUCCUGCGGCGUCGGUCUACCGAUUGCGGUACGACAGGCGCGUCAGCGGGGCUUCUCGCCGGUGCGUGUCUUCCGCCGGCACGUCGUCGUCGGUCCUCACGGGCAGGCGGCGCGUCGAGGCGGGCCCUCGCGGCUGUUUACUUUGAACAAAUUAGAGUGCUCAAAGCGGGCUUACAUUUGCCUGAAUAUUGUGCGCAUGGAAUAAUAGAAUAGGACCUCGGUUCUGUUUUGUUGGCUUUCUGAUACCAGAGGUAAUGAUUAAUAGGGACAACUGGGGGCAUUCGUAUUGCGACGUUAGAGGUGAAAUUCUUGGAUCGUCGCAAGACGGACUAAAGCGAAAGCAUUUGCCAAAGGUGUUUUCAUUAAUCAAGAACGAAAGUUAGAGGUUCGAAGGCGAUUAGAUACCGCUGUAGUUCUAACCAUAAAUGAUGCCAGCCAGCGAUCCGCCGAAGUUUUUUACGUUGAUUCGGUGGGCAGCUCCCGGGAAACCAAAGCUUUC